Molecule: ribosomal RNA, 1062 nt
Filed under: Triticum aestivum (bread wheat)
Lineage: Eukaryota; Viridiplantae; Streptophyta; Magnoliopsida; Poales; Poaceae
Description: partial small subunit ribosomal RNA
Source: RNAcentral
GCUUCUCCAAUGGUUCUUGGUAACUCGGAUAUUGAUCUUAUUCUCAGGAUGGAUUGGCUUUCUAAGCACAAGGCUCAGCUUGAUUGUGCAGCCAGGCAGAUUCAAUUGACUCAUUCGUCUGAGGAUGUAAUUGUCUUUGCCGCUCGGGAUAAUACCAUCCAUCUGUUUUCCCUCAAUGAGAAGGGUGGACUCGAUGCCAUCUCGCAAAUUCCAGUUGUUUGCGAAUAUCAAGACGUCUUUCCAGAAGAGCUUCCAGGAAUGCCUCCGCACCGGCCAGUUGAAUUCGUUAUUGAUCUUGAGCCCGGUACGGAACCUGUUUGCAAGCGUCCUUACAAGCUCGGACCUGAAGAGUUGAAGGAGCUGAAGAAGAAACUCGAUAUUCAAGAGAAAAUGGGUCUCAUUCGGCCUAGUUCUUCUCCGUGGGGUUGUGGUGUUCUUUUUGUGAAGAAGAAGGGUGGAAUGGACCGACUUUGUGUUGAUUACCGUCCAUUGAACAAGAAGACCAUCAAGAACAAAUACCCACUUCCCAACAUCAAUGAGCUAUUCGAACAACUCAAAGGUGCCCAAGUAUUCUCCAAGCUUGAUAUCCGUAUGGGUUAUCAUCAGAUUCGAAUCCGUGAGCAAGAUAUUCCCAAGACGGCUUUCAGGACAAGCUUUGGUUCAUAUGAAUACACUGUCAUGUCUUUUGGCCUCGUCAACGCUCCUCCGACGUUCUCUCGCAUGAUGAACUUCAUCUUCAACGCCUACACCAAUGACUUCAUUUUGGUCUAUCUCGACGACAUUCUGGUUUUCUCAAAGAACAAGGAAGAGCAUGCCAAGCACUUGCAUUUGGUACUCGAUAAGCUCAGGGAACAUCAGUUCUACGCCAAGUUCUCCAAGUGUGAAUUUUGGCUCGAUCAGGUUCUUUAUCUUGGUCAUAUCAUCUCUGACAAGGGCAUUGCCGUGAAUCCUGAGAAGGUGUCUGCAAUUGUGAAUUGGGAACCUCCUCAUAACGUGAAGCAACUCCGUAGCUUCCUCGGUCUCACAAGCUAUUGCCGAAGAUUCAUUGAAAACUUUUCUAAG